UCCCUGGAGGACUAGUGGUUAGGCCACAGCGCUCUCACUACUGUGGCUUGGGUUCAAUUCCCAGCCAGAGAA
Molecule: transfer RNA, 72 nt
Filed under: Pangasius djambal
Lineage: Eukaryota; Metazoa; Chordata; Actinopteri; Siluriformes; Pangasiidae
Description: tRNA-Glu
Rfam family: tRNA
About the family: Transfer RNA (tRNA) molecules are approximately 80 nucleotides in length. Their secondary structure includes four short double-helical elements and three loops (D, anti-codon, and T loops). Further hydrogen bonds mediate the characteristic L-shaped molecular structure. tRNAs have two regions of fundamental functional importance: the anti-codon, which is responsible for specific mRNA codon recognition, and the 3' end, to which the tRNAs corresponding amino acid is attached (by aminoacyl-tRNA synthetases). tRNAs cope with the degeneracy of the genetic code in two manners: having more than one tRNA (with a specific anti-codon) for a particular amino acid; and 'wobble' base-pairing, i.e. permitting non-standard base-pairing at the 3rd anti-codon position.
Source: RNAcentral